CCUACGGGAGGCAGCAGUAGGGAAUCUUCCGCAAUGGACGAAAGUCUGACGGAGCAACGCCGCGUGAGCGAAGAAGGUCUUCGGAUUGUAAAGCUCUGUUGUUAGGGAAGAACAAGUACCGUUCGAAGAGGGCGGUACCGUGACGGUACCUAACGAGAAAGCCACGGCUAACUACGUGCCAGCAGCCGCGGUAAUACGUAGGUGGCAAGCGUUGUCCGGAAUUAUUGGGCGUAAAGCGCGCGCAGGCGGUUCCUUAAGUCUGAUGUGAAAGCCCACGGCUCAACCGUGGAGGGUCAUUGGAAACUGGGGGACUUGAGUGCAGAAGAGGAGAGCGGAAUUCCACGUGUAGCGGUGAAAUGCGUAGAGAUGUGGAGGAACACCAGUGGCGAAGGCGGCUCUCUGGUCUGUAACUGACGCUGAGGCGCGAAAGCGUGGGGAGCAAACAGGAUUAGAUACCCUGGUAGUCCACGCCGUAAACGAUGAGUGCUAAGUGUUAGAGGGUAUCCACCCUUUAGUGCUGUAGCUAACGCAUUAAGCACUCCGCCUGGGGAGUACGCUCGCAAGAUGAAACUCAAAGGAAUUGACGGGG
RNAcentral lists this ribosomal RNA (589 nucleotides) under uncultured bacterium. RNAcentral's name for it is "bacterial SSU rRNA". It matches the Rfam family "Bacterial small subunit ribosomal RNA", at positions 338 to 918 of the family's 1533-position model. The record is from RNAcentral.